Molecule: ribosomal RNA, 1800 nt
Filed under: Escherichia coli
Lineage: Bacteria; Pseudomonadati; Pseudomonadota; Gammaproteobacteria; Enterobacterales; Enterobacteriaceae
Description: partial 23S ribosomal RNA
Rfam family: Bacterial large subunit ribosomal RNA
Source: RNAcentral
UAUCCUGUCUGAAUAUGGGGGGACCAUCCUCCAAGGCUAAAUACUCCUGACUGACCGAUAGUGAACCAGUACCGUGAGGGAAAGGCGAAAAGAACCCCGGCGAGGGGAGUGAAAAAGAACCUGAAACCGUGUACGUACAAGCAGUGGGAGCACGCUUAGGCGUGUGACUGCGUACCUUUUGUAUAAUGGGUCAGCGACUUAUAUUCUGUAGCAAGGUUAACCGAAUAGGGGAGCCGAAGGGAAACCGAGUCUUAACUGGGCGUUAAGUUGCAGGGUAUAGACCCGAAACCCGGUGAUCUAGCCAUGGGCAGGUUGAAGGUUGGGUAACACUAACUGGAGGACCGAACCGACUAAUGUUGAAAAAUUAGCGGAUGACUUGUGGCUGGGGGUGAAAGGCCAAUCAAACCGGGAGAUAGCUGGUUCUCCCCGAAAGCUAUUUAGGUAGCGCCUCGUGAAUUCAUCUCCGGGGGUAGAGCACUGUUUCGGCAAGGGGGUCAUCCCGACUUACCAACCCGAUGCAAACUGCGAAUACCGGAGAAUGUUAUCACGGGAGACACACGGCGGGUGCUAACGUCCGUCGUGAAGAGGGAAACAACCCAGACCGCCAGCUAAGGUCCCAAAGUCAUGGUUAAGUGGGAAACGAUGUGGGAAGGCCCAGACAGCCAGGAUGUUGGCUUAGAAGCAGCCAUCAUUUAAAGAAAGCGUAAUAGCUCACUGGUCGAGUCGGCCUGCGCGGAAGAUGUAACGGGGCUAAACCAUGCACCGAAGCUGCGGCAGCGACGCUGAUGCGUUGUUGGGUAGGGGAGCGUUCUGUAAGCCUGCGAAGGUGUGCUGUGAGGCAUGCUGGAGGUAUCAGAAGUGCGAAUGCUGACAUAAGUAACGAUAAAGCGGGUGAAAAGCCCGCUCGCCGGAAGACCAAGGGUUCCUGUCCAACGUUAAUCGGGGCAGGGUGAGUCGACCCCUAAGGCGAGGCCGAAAGGCGUAGUCGAUGGGAAACAGGUUAAUAUUCCUGUACUUGGUGUUACUGCGAAGGGGGGACGGAGAAGGCUAUGUUGGCCGGGCGACGGUUGUCCCGGUUUAAGCGUGUAGGCUGGUUUUCCAGGCAAAUCCGGAAAAUCAAGGCUGAGGCGUGAUGACGAGGCACUACGGUGCUGAAGCAACAAAUGCCCUGCUUCCAGGAAAAGCCUCUAAGCAUCAGGUAACAUCAAAUCGUACCCCAAACCGACACAGGUGGUCAGGUAGAGAAUACCAAGGCGCUUGAGAGAACUCGGGUGAAGGAACUAGGCAAAAUGGUGCCGUAACUUCGGGAGAAGGCACGCUGAUAUGUAGGUGAAGUCCCUCGCGGAUGGAGCUGAAAUCAGUCGAAGAUACCAGCUGGCUGCAACUGUUUAUUAAAAACACAGCACUGUGCAAACACGAAAGUGGACGUAUACGGUGUGACGCCUGCCCGGUGCCGGAAGGUUAAUUGAUGGGGUUAGCGCAAGCGAAGCUCUUGAUCGAAGCCCCGGUAAACGGCGGCCGUAACUAUAACGGUCCUAAGGUAGCGAAAUUCCUUGUCGGGUAAGUUCCGACCUGCACGAAUGGCGUAAUGAUGGCCAGGCUGUCUCCACCCGAGACUCAGUGAAAUUGAACUCGCUGUGAAGAUGCAGUGUACCCGCGGCAAGACGGAAAGACCCCGUGAACCUUUACUAUAGCUUGACACUGAACAUUGAGCCUUGAUGUGUAGGAUAGGUGGGAGGCUUUGAAGUGUGGACGCCAGUCUGCAUGGAGCCGACCUUGAAAUACCACCCUUUAAUGUUU